RNAcentral lists this long non-coding RNA (1561 nucleotides) under Phoenix dactylifera (date palm). RNAcentral's name for it is "long non-coding RNA (PDAC_LNC008691)". The record is from RNAcentral. Lineage: Eukaryota; Viridiplantae; Streptophyta; Magnoliopsida; Arecales; Arecaceae.
ACUCAUUAGGAAGGGAAGAUUAGGAUCUGAGGAGGGUUGAUUAAGAUUUAUAAAACUGAAACAAAAUCAGAAGUUAUUAGAUUUAAAGAUCUCAUCUUCAAAAAUUCUGCAGGUGUAGAACACCGCAGCCUAAUGAUCUAUUCUAGGUUCUUGUUUGAGCCACAUAAUUGUCCGACCUCUACAGGUAUCCACACGAGAAUCUAAUCAUCUAAGAAUGGAUCUUACCGGAGAGCUAGCUUCUUGCAAAAACCUCUCAUGACUAUCAUAAGUUGGAAUAAGAAUCUGCAACUUACCUCCUUGAUGAAGAACCUUUCUUCUUCAACCUUGCUCGCGAUGGAGGAAGAGGAAGGAGGAACCUUGCACGUGGAUCUUCCUUGCCUUGCUACCGUGGAUGAAGAGGAGGAUGAAGAUCCCUUGCUGCCAUGGAGAAGGAGGAAGGAAGAAGAGGAGGCAUGGAGAGGAAGAGGAGAGAAUUAAUUCAUAAUGUCUCCCUUGCUACCCUUUUAUAGAUUGGGUUUAGGACCUCUCCUAAUCUUAUUAGGAGUAUGGGACUCUAACCCACGCUUGGAUUAAUGCCAAGUGUCCAAUCCUUGUGCUCAUAGAUGCAUGACAUAUGUCCACUUAAUCAAUUGAUUAAUUUUCUAAUCACAUUAGGAUUUCCAAUCUCAUUAGGAGAAUUAAUUGAUUGAGAGCAUGCAUCCUACAACGCCAUGUGAACUUUAAAGUCCGCAUAAUGUGAACAUGACUUAAGUCAUCUUCAUCCUACGACAACAUGUGGUCUUUAAAAUCCGCACAAACCUUGGUUUAAUCAAAUUGACCGAAUCAUGAACCCAAAUCAAUUUGGGUCAAAUCCAAUUUGAUUUGGCUCAUUAAAUCAGCCCAAUUGCAAUCCAAUUGCAAUCAAUUCCACUUAAUUCUUCUUUCAUUAACUUACUAACACUUAGUAGGUUAAUUCAAUCACCAAUCAUAUUGAUGAUUGAUUUCUAUUGUGAUUCCAAAUCACAAUUAUGAUAGUCUGACUAAUUAAAUUCUCUAUGUGUGUGACCCCAUAGGUUCUAUUCUGACUGGUAGUGAGACAUAUUGAGAUCUCCAUCUCAAUAUUACUGAAAUUUCUUUCAGUGGAUUGAAACGAUUUCAGUUCUACUCUCAGGAUUCACUGAUCACCAAGUGAAUGCCUUCGAGUCUCAUAAUCCACUAGUGACACUUAGCAGUAUAUGGUGGCAACCCAACAGAAUGGAAUGUCUGAACCUUUAGGUGCAGUUAGCGUAUGAUACAGUCCCUCUAUCAUGGAUCCCACAUGACGGAGGUUAUGGAUAUCUCAUCAAACCCCAUCGUCCAUCAUAUAUCAAAUUUAUACGACUUCCAGCUCGAGAUAUGAAAAACACUUUUUCCAAAAUACCUGGUCAGGAAUUUAUCGAACUCAGUCUCAUAAAUCACAUAGGAUCACUCCUAAUCUAUCAAGGUCGAUAGAUCCCAUGUAGAUGCAACCCUAUUACAAAAUGAACCUACUGUAGCCAAUCUGCACUACAAGAACCCAAAUGGCUAGGGUCCAAGUUCACAU